Molecule: small RNA, 992 nt
Filed under: Pongo abelii (Sumatran orangutan)
Lineage: Eukaryota; Metazoa; Chordata; Mammalia; Primates; Hominidae
Description: retained intron
Source: RNAcentral
AUCAGAUCGAUCUAAGAUGGCGACUGUCGAACCGGAAACCACCCCUACUCCUAAUCCCCCGACUACAGAAGAGGAGAAAACGGAAUCUAAUCAGGAGGUUGCUAACCCAGAACACUAUAUUAAACAUCCCCUACAGAACAGAUGGGCACUCUGGUUUUUUAAAAAUGAUAAAAGCAAAACUUGGCAAGCAAACCUGCGGCUGAUCUCCAAGUUUGAUACUGUUGAAGACUUUUGGGCUCUGUACAACCAUAUCCAGUUGUCUAGUAAUUUAAUGCCUGGCUGUGACUACUCACUUUUUAAGGAUGGUAUUGAGCCUAUGUGGGAAGAUGAGAAAAACAAACGGGGAGGACGAUGGCUAAUUACAUUGAACAAACAGCAGAGACGAAGUGACCUCGAUCGCUUUUGGCUAGAGACAGUAAGGUUUUAAAAGUGUAAAGCAGUUUUAGAGGUAGUUUAAGUCAGAUAUUUUAAGUGAUUGGCAGUUGACUCUCACCACAAUAAGCUCACUGUGGUCAUUUCAUUAAUCUCAAAAUUAUAGAACCUUAGAUUUUGUAUGAUUGAAGUUUUUGCAACCCUCUUACAGCAUUGCUAUAUGUAUACUAAACUUUUAAAUAUUUAUAUUUUUAGAGCAAGGGUCUUGCUCUGUUGCCCAGGCUGGAGUGCGGAUAUUUAUUUAUAUGGCUCACUUCAGCCUCACCCUCUGGGUUCAAGCGAUCCUCCCACUUCAGCCUCUUAAGUAGCUGGGACUACAGGUGCAUGCCACCAUGCCCAGCUCAUUUUCUAAUUUUUUUCCUAGAGAUGGGAUCUUGCUAUGUUGCCCAGGUUGGUCUCAAACUUCUGGCCUCAAGUGAUCCUCCCACUUCAGCCUCCCAAAGUGCUGGAAUUAGAGGUGUGAGUCAUUGUGCCUGUCCCACUAAACUUUUUAGAUCAGUGAAGCAAAUAAUAAAAUUGUUGUGUACUACCAUUUGACCUACAUGUUGUGAUAUUAACUG